GACGAACGCUGGCGGCGUGCUUAACACAUGCAAGUCGAACGGAAAGGCCCUGCUUUUGUGGGGUGCUCGAGUGGCGAACGGGUGAGUAACACGUGAGUAACCUGCCCUUGACUUUGGGAUAACUUCAGGAAACUGGGGCUAAUACCGGAUAGGAGCUCCUGCUGCAUGGUGGGGGUUGGAAAGUUUCGGCGGUUGGGGAUGGACUCGCGGCUUAUCAGCCUGUUGGUGGGGUAGUGGCUUACCAAGGCUUUGACGGGUAGCCGGCCUGAGAGGGUGACCGGCCACAUUGUGACUGAGAUACGGCCCAGACUCCUACGGGAGGCAGCAGUGGGGAAUAUUGCACAAUGGGCGGAAGCCUGAUGCAGCAACGCCGCGUGCGGGAUGACGGCCUUCGGGUUGUAAACCGCUUUCGCCUGUGACGAAGCGUGAGUGACGGUAAUGGGUAAAGAAGCACCGGCUAACUACGUG
Molecule: ribosomal RNA, 468 nt
Filed under: uncultured bacterium
Lineage: Bacteria
Description: partial 16S ribosomal RNA
Rfam family: Bacterial small subunit ribosomal RNA
Source: RNAcentral